Non-coding RNA from Lonchura striata (white-rumped munia), 188 nucleotides. NCBI's taxonomy places the organism in Eukaryota, Metazoa, Chordata, Aves, Passeriformes, Estrildidae. The record is from RefSeq and is a predicted model, not a curated record.
AAAGGGACUGAUGAAUUUACUCAUUCUUCACUAAACAACAAGGAAAUUUCAGCUAAAAUAUAGCAUCUUGGAAGAUAUUUAUCCAGGAUGUUCCUUCCAUAGGGACACACUUCAGAGAAAUAAAAGCAGGCGUAUACUGGCAGUGGAAAGAUUUAACUGCUAUAAACAUCCAAGACAACCAAGAGCAU